CUAAGAGUUACUAACUUUUGCUAAAUAAAAUUUCCUUGGCAGGAAGCCUAGAUGGAGAACCAUCACUUGAGAAUCUUUUAACUCCAAGCAUGUGCUGUAUACCAAGGGCAUCCUUAUAACCUGUGAGCUUGUUGGAAAUGCAGAAUUUCAGGCCCCUGCAUCAGAAUCUGCAUUUUAACAAGGUUCCAACCAGUGAUUCACAUGCCCGCUAAAGGUUUGGUUUUGUUUUGUGUCCAUUUGUUUUAUUAUGAAAUAUUCACACGUAUAGAAAAGCUUAUAAAUAAACGUCCAGGUGCCUGACAUUUUGCCCCGUGUCUUUAGGUGAAGACUACAAUGAAAAGAGAUGAAACAAUCGAGACCCCCGCUCCUGUGUGGUCUUUCUAGUGUCUCUUCAUCUGCUUUCCUUCCCAGGGAUGGACCAGGCACAGAGAAGUUCCAUCAUUACCAUGGUGACACAGUAAGCGUCACUGUCUAGUUAUCAGCAACGAUAAGAUGUCUCGGAUGCAGGAGAGGGGCUGACAGCGUGUUAGCUGUGCGCAUACAUCCCGUGCGCACCCUCCGGAGCGUGCCCGGACGAGGACGAGGACGAGGUAUGGCCCAGCGAACGGCCGGCGGGCGUCCCACAGCUCUGCUGCCAGAGACGACGCACCUGCAGGUACAGGCGAAAUUCUCCCUUGUGAGAAGCGAGACAAAAG
Molecule: long non-coding RNA, 695 nt
Filed under: Canis lupus familiaris (dog)
Lineage: Eukaryota; Metazoa; Chordata; Mammalia; Carnivora; Canidae
Description: lncRNA (ENSCAFG00000053980.1)
Source: RNAcentral